UCCUUGUUAGCUCAGUUGGUAGAGCGUUCGGCUUUUAAACAUUUCCAAGUUUAAACCAAGGAUACCGAAAUGUCAGGGGUUCGAGCCCCCUAUGAGGAG
This is a transfer RNA of Vanderwaltozyma polyspora DSM 70294, 99 nucleotides long. It matches the Rfam family "tRNA". From Rfam's summary of the family: Transfer RNA (tRNA) molecules are approximately 80 nucleotides in length. Their secondary structure includes four short double-helical elements and three loops (D, anti-codon, and T loops). Further hydrogen bonds mediate the characteristic L-shaped molecular structure. tRNAs have two regions of fundamental functional importance: the anti-codon, which is responsible for specific mRNA codon recognition, and the 3' end, to which the tRNAs corresponding amino acid is attached (by aminoacyl-tRNA synthetases). tRNAs cope with the degeneracy of the genetic code in two manners: having more than one tRNA (with a specific anti-codon) for a particular amino acid; and 'wobble' base-pairing, i.e. permitting non-standard base-pairing at the 3rd anti-codon position. Lineage: Eukaryota; Fungi; Ascomycota; Saccharomycetes; Saccharomycetales; Saccharomycetaceae. The record is from Rfam.